AAUGUUUUAUAUAAAUUGCAGUAUGUGUCGCCCAAAAUAGCAAACCCCAUAACCAACCAGAUUAUUAUAUGAUACAUAAUGCUUAUAUGAAACUAAGACAUUUCGCAACAUUUAUUUUAGGUAUAUAAAUACAUUUAUUGAAGGAAUUGAUAUAUGCCAGUAAAAUGGUGUAUUUUUAAUUUCUUUCAAUAAAAACAUAAUUGACAUUAUAUAAAAAUGAAUUAUAAAACUCUAAGCGGUGGAUCACUCGGCUCAUGGGUCGAUGAAGAACGCAGCAAACUGUGCGUCAUCGUGUGAACUGCAGGACACAUGAACAUCGACAUUUUGAACGCAUAUCGCAGUCCAUGCUGUUAUGUACUUUAAUUAAUUUUAUAGUGCUGCUUGGACUACAUAUGGUUGAGGGUUGUAAGACUAUGCUAAUUAAGUUGCUUAUAAAUUUUUAUAAGCAUAUGGUAUAUUAUUGGAUAAAUAUAAUAAUUUUUAUUCAUAAUAUUAAAAAAUAAAUGAAAAACAUUAUCUCACAU
Molecule: ribosomal RNA, 524 nt
Filed under: Drosophila melanogaster (fruit fly)
Lineage: Eukaryota; Metazoa; Arthropoda; Insecta; Diptera; Drosophilidae
Description: eukaryotic LSU rRNA
Rfam family: 5.8S ribosomal RNA (bases 228-406)
Source: RNAcentral